Molecule: RNA transcript, 2005 nt
Organism: Vigna angularis (adzuki bean)
Lineage: Eukaryota; Viridiplantae; Streptophyta; Magnoliopsida; Fabales; Fabaceae
Exons: 8
Source: RefSeq, a predicted model, not a curated record
UCCGGACCUUCACUUAUCCAUGGACUCCAAUCUGCACAUGGAAAUUGGCUUGAAGAUGGACUCAUCAAUUAAUAUUUAAGAAAAUAUUUGAAAACAAAACAAAACUUUGAAAUGGGUAGAUUACAAAACCAAACAAAUGUAGCUGCCGCCUUUAACAUUUGAAAGGAAGGGGUUUUCCGCCACUAACCUCACAUCACCCCUUUCCUCGUUCGUUGUUCUUUCAAUUUUUGAUGAUUUGAUGAACAUGAAUUCAUCCACUUGCCCCUUCUGUCAUUUAUCUGUUCCUUCCUCUGAACUCCAAUCGCACGCCAACGCCCAUUUCGACGACAACGACGCCGAUUAUAGCUCCCCUUCGGCUAGUGGCUUGCAUUUUGAUGGAGUAAGGGGUAGGGAUAAUGUGGUGUUGAAAAUGGAUGAAAAGAUCUCUUGCUUAGUUGAUGUGCAAAGAAGGGGAGAGUUUUACAAGGUUGAAAGAGGUUUGAUGGCCUUGUUGAGAGACUGUUUAGAGUCUGAGGCUGAAAACUCAAGAAGCAUUUUGACAUGUUAUGUUGAUCAUUUCCAGAGCCUUGAGUUUAAGGAUGUUGGAUGGGGUUGUGGUUGGCGUAACAUUCAAAUGCUCAGCUCUCACUUAAUGACACAAAGGCCAGAAGCAAGAGAAGCUAUGUUUGGCCGUUCAGGGUUUGUUCCUGAUAUCCCAUCACUCCAGAGGUGGCUUGAGAUUGCUUGGGAAAGGGGUUUUGAUGCACCUGGCGCUGAACAGUUUAACCAUGCUGUCUAUGGCUCAAAAAAAUGGAUUGGGGCUACUGAAUGUGCUGCCCUUUUGCGUUCUUUUGGUCUCCGGGUGAGGGUAGUGGAUUUUGGUCCUAAGAAAUCUGAGGAACUCUAUUUAUCUGUCCCUGGUUCAAGUGUUGGGGAAAAGGAUCUUGUGAAAAGUAACGAUGGAAGGAAGAGGAAAGCAUCAAAUACUUAUGGACCAAUGGAUAGAUAUGUGUCUCGUGGUGUUGCUCAAACAAGUUGCAACCAAGAUGCAAAGUCAUGUCCUUCCCUUGUACGUGUUGGUGACGCUGUGGAUAACGAAAGUAGUGGUAAUAGGGUGCUAUACGGCAAAGAGAAACUAAAUGAGGGUCACCAAGUUCUUAUGGACUUUGUGUGGAAUUAUUUCUCCCAUAAAAGCACUGUUCAAUUUGAUCACAAGCAUGUUCUUAUCAGUGAGAAAACGCCACUGUACUUUCAGCAUGAUGGACAUUCAAGAACAAUAGUUGGAAUUCAAGUCAAGCAUCAACGGUCUGGAAUUCCACAAUACAAUCUCCUGGUUCUGGAUCCCAGUCAUAGAACUGGUGCUCUAGAAAGAUCUCUUAUAGAGAAAGUUAGAUGGCAGAAACACAUAAAAAGAGGAGUGCACACACUAAAGAAGCCACAAUACCAGUUGUGUUAUGUUGAUCCUGGAAUUGCCAGUGAGGAGGAGAUGGAGAAACUCAAGACAAUUGAUAGUGUCUUCCUUGAAUUUUAAAUAACCAUACAAAGGACCUUGCUACAUAAAGAUGAAACACAUCAAAUUUGAGUUUUAGACGGCUGCAAUUGCACUAAGAUUCAAAACAGGAGCUUGAACAUACUAUUUGCCAAGACCGGUUACUAAUGGAACCAGAAUCGGAGCCAUUAAAGGAAGCAACUGCUUCUACAUUCUACAACCACCACCCUCUUGGUCAUGAUCUUCACUAUUUUAAUUGAUAUUCACGUAAUGGUCCCUACCAUCACUGCUUAUGCUUUCACACUCAAAAUUCAGAUAAUAUCAUAUGUUGAUUCAUUUAGUUAUUUUGGAUAAUUUUAAUGCAAUGUUACUUUGGUUUAUAUAAUUUUUCCCUUUUACUCAAAAACUAUAGGCUCUCAUCCAUGAGAUUUUUCCUUGAGUUGUGAUUUUUCAUUCUUUUAUUUAUAUUUUCUAGAGGCACUUCAUUCACUUUAAUUAUGUGUGUAAUGCCAGUACAAAUUUGCUGUUUGCAAACCA